This is a non-coding RNA of Paramuricea clavata, 388 nucleotides long. The record is from the annotation of a GenBank genome assembly. Lineage: Eukaryota; Metazoa; Cnidaria; Anthozoa; Malacalcyonacea; Plexauridae.
GCAAUGGCUGGCCAAUAUACCACGCAUGAAUUGGGGGUGGUCUGUGGAAGUACUCCCCCAGAAAAUCUUUGAAAUUUGAAUCCCGGAAAUGUCAUUUCCUGCAUUCUGAGCAUCCAAAUUUGCUCCAAAAUUUAUGCUAACUAUACUUGUAUUUGAAAUAAAAGAUGGAAAAAAUGCACAAAAAGUAAAAAAGAAUAUUAACUGUAAUUUAUCAUUACUUAUUAGAGGGAUAAUCCCCAGAAAAUAUUUGAAAUUUGAAACCCGGAAAUGCUAUUUCCUGCAUUCUGAUCAUCCAAAAAAUAAAAAAUUAUUAACAAUAAUUUAUCAUUACUUAGUGGUAGAAAAAAGUAACAAUUUAAAUCGAUUUUGUUAAACAAGGACAAAGGAU